Molecule: long non-coding RNA, 1663 nt
Organism: Contarinia nasturtii (swede midge)
Lineage: Eukaryota; Metazoa; Arthropoda; Insecta; Diptera; Cecidomyiidae
Exons: 7
Source: RefSeq, a predicted model, not a curated record
CGGUGUUAUUUAAAAAACGUAUUGUUAAAUGUCAGAAAAAGGUGAAAAUGAGCAGCGAAAAUACUAAUCAAAUUUCCGGUGUGGAAUUUAACCAAGUGGACCAUGUACCAAAUAGCGGCAAAGCCAGAGAUCAACAAGAUGCGAUAUUGCCAGUCUACUUGAAUCCAAAUAAUUACGCAUCCAAAAAAACUUUAGCACAAGGAAUGCUCGAUUUGGCAUUGUUAUCAGCAAAUGCAGCACAGCUAACAUACGUAUUAUUCAAUUCGAAGCAAAACGAAUUUUAUACGCUGCUCCUGUGCAUGAUAAUUGUUUCCAUAGUUUUACAGGUUCUGCAAGCAAUAGUUUGUAUUAUUUUGGGUUUGAUUUUCGAUAUUAAUCAAGUCGAUCAUCAAAAAUCUGCUGAUAUAAUAAAUAAUGUUGCAUUGAGCAUUUCUGUUGUUGUUCUUGCAGUGAACGUAAUCAUAUCUGCAUUUGAUAUUCGAGCAAUGACUGAUAAUAAGUAGAUAGAACGCACAUCAGUUUUUUUUCGUUUCAUUUUAAUAUUUCUGGUGUAUAUGAUUUUUAUAAAUUUUAAUUUGAUAAAAUGUGUGUUUCUUGGCUAUGUGUUUAUUAAAAUUGAAGAAAAAUGAAUACAUGAUGUAGAUUGUACAUAGUAUGUACUACAUACUCCAUGUACAUGUGCCAUAAAUGGAUACAUUAUAAUCUAAUUUAUCAUUGAUUUAAAAUAUGGUGGAAGGAAAAUCAGGAAAAAGUCAAAGUGUAAAAGUGUGAACAAAGUGUAAUUUAAGUAGUAAAAACAAGACCUAAACACUGAACAAUAAGACAGAAUGAAAAAUGGUGCGUAAUAAAAUUAGUUUUUACAAUCGAAUUACCCGAAAUAAACUCCAGAGUUUUUUUUGUGCAAUUGGUUCAGACCUAGGAAUUCUAUGCAAUGAUCGAAGCUUUUCUACACUGGAAAAUAUGCGUCGGUUGCAAUACCAGGAAAAAAAACACAACAUUUUACUAUUCAUAUUUAUUUAUCACUUUAUUGACAAUCUUCGGCUCGUUUGAACUUUAACAACAAUGAAUGUGUCUACUCAUGACAUUUUCUGGCGCUGCUCACAUAUACAUGGUCUUGCAUUAGUAACUCAGUUUUCUUUUUUUCAGCUGAUAACAUAGAUUUUGUUAUUUACGCCAUUAUUGUCCACGUUUUCCCACUUCACGCGACACCACUCAGAAAAUAAAAAAAACAACAACAAGGAAAAGCAUAUCUUCUUCAUGUAUGAAUGGUGUAGCUCUGGUCAUAAAAUGUGAUGUUACGUUGACACAAUUUUCUUCAACGAGAGAAAGAGAAUGAACACAACAAAUGCAUAUAUUUUAUGGAUGGAACAUUCCUCGCACUCCGCUCAUUGCAAAAUUUACGUUUCGAUUUCAUAACAUAAACUAUUGCAUGCUCAUUUCUUUAUUUAAGUUUGUUAAAUAUAUUCAGAUUUUUUUCUCGGUAAGAUAGAACAAUAUUUCACAUCUGGUGCACGGUAUGAAAGAAAAAGAACAGCCGAUUUGAGCAAUUACAGAUACCAACCAUUUAGACCAUCCAUUCAUGUAAUAGUAUGACCAAAAAUAAAACAACAAACCAAUGUAUCAUACAAAAAGAGUGUAUUACUUUUUAAGAGGUAAUCAUGGU